AGAAUUAAUUGUGAAGACGCCUUGAUAUCACGAUGAAAUCUAUUCUCUUUGCUUUAGUCAUCUUCGCUGUGGCUAUGCAGGUUUUUUCGGAUAACUUAACCGUCAAGGUUGAUGCAGGCAAGGAGAAAUUUCUCACUAGCCUGUUCAACAUAACCACCAUCGUGUGCAGUACUGUCGUAAAGCCAGUUCAGACUACACUGACUACUUUGGUAUCCAAGUGCCCAGUGUAAGGUCCUACUUAUGAAUGGAGGAGUAAGAUCUGCUAGUCUACCA
Molecule: long non-coding RNA, 273 nt
Organism: Macrobrachium nipponense
Lineage: Eukaryota; Metazoa; Arthropoda; Malacostraca; Decapoda; Palaemonidae
Exons: 6
Source: RefSeq, a predicted model, not a curated record